This 523-nucleotide long non-coding RNA is filed under the name Pan troglodytes (chimpanzee). RNAcentral's name for it is "lincRNA". The record is from RNAcentral. Lineage: Eukaryota; Metazoa; Chordata; Mammalia; Primates; Hominidae.
AUUUCACUGACUAGAAUUACCAGUACUAUGUCAAAUAAGAGUGACUAGUUUGGACAUAUUUUUUCACAAUCCUGGUAGAAUAAAAGCAUUCAUUUUUUCAUGGUUAAGUAUAUGACUGAUGAAUGCCAGAUGCCUCUAGUGAGCCACCUUGAAUCACUAUUCUGAAUACAUCUUGAGUAAAAAGAGAAAAUUGCUCAUGUUUCCAUGUCUGUCUGAAUCAUGUUAUUGGACCAUGAGAGCAAGCAGCUGGAUCUCAUUCUGUCCAGGCUAUUGCUAAAGCAGGCUGGCUGCCUUCAUCUUCCCCAGUAUUCUAGGAUAACCUCAAAGCAAUCACAACAGCUUGUUUUCUACAAUUAAAACAUUUGGGUUUUGAUAGUGUGCAUGGUCUACAAAGAAGUGAGAAGUGUAGCUGUUUGUAUGGAAUCUUAUGGUGAACAUUGCUGGCUCCAACAUAUAACUUGAUUGGUGCAACAUCAAGGUAAAUGAAUCCUCAAAGAGCUAGCAAAUGGAUCAAAUAAAAGUA